Molecule: ribosomal RNA, 860 nt
Filed under: Klebsiella pneumoniae
Lineage: Bacteria; Pseudomonadati; Pseudomonadota; Gammaproteobacteria; Enterobacterales; Enterobacteriaceae
Also listed under: 1 other name
Description: partial 23S ribosomal RNA
Rfam family: Bacterial large subunit ribosomal RNA
Source: RNAcentral
GGGACACGUGGUAUCCUGUCUGAAUAUGGGGGGACCAUCCUCCAAGGCUAAAUACUCCUGACUGACCGAUAGUGAACCAGUACCGUGAGGGAAAGGCGAAAAGAACCCCGGCGAGGGGAGUGAAAAAGAACCUGAAACCGUGUACGUACAAGCAGUGGGAGCACCUUCGGGUGUGACUGCGUACCUUUUGUAUAAUGGGUCAGCGACUUAUAUUCUGUAGCAAGGUUAACCGUAUAGGGGAGCCGCAGGGAAACCGAGUCUUAACUGGGCGUUAAGUUGCAGGGUAUAGACCCGAAACCCGGUGAUCUAGCCAUGGGCAGGUUGAAGGUUGGGUAACACUAACUGGAGGACCGAACCGACUAAUGUUGAAAAAUUAGCGGAUGACUUGUGGCUGGGGGUGAAAGGCCAAUCAAACCGGGAGAUAGCUGGUUCUCCCCGAAAGCUAUUUAGGUAGCGCCUCGUGAACUCAUCUUCGGGGGUAGAGCACUGUUUCGGCUAGGGGGUCAUCCCGACUUACCAACCCGAUGCAAACUACGAAUACCGAAGAAUGUUAUCACGGGAGACACACGGCGGGUGCUAACGUCCGUCGUGAAGAGGGAAACAACCCAGACCGCCAGCUAAGGUCCCAAAGUCAUGGUUAAGUGGGAAACGAUGUGGGAAGGCACAGACAGCCAGGAUGUUGGCUUAGAAGCAGCCAUCAUUUAAAGAAAGCGUAAUAGCUCACUGGUCGAGUCGGCCUGCGCGGAAGAUGUAACGGGGCUAAACCAUGCACCGAAGCUGCGGCAGCGACACUAUGUGUUGUUGGGUAGGGGAGCGUUCUGUAAGCCUGCGAAGGUGUGCUGUGAGGCAUGCUGGAGGUA